GCCAUUAGUGCCAAAAUUCGCCACUUUUCUAACGCGUUUGAUUAAGAAAUGGCGUAAAAAACGCCGUUUAAUUUUUCAAAACGCCGAGAAAAACGGCGUUCUGUUUCGACAAACGCCGUUUUUUCCGACUCUCACAUGGCGCCCUGAACGCACCAUCCGAGUGACGUAAAAAGCGGCGUUCAAAGACAGACGGAAACGCCGUUUUUUCCGCCACUCGGCAGAAAACGCCGUUCAAAGAUGCAUAAAAACGGCGUUUUUUACGGCGUUCUGUGCCAGCUGUAACGGCGUUUAAAACGGCGUUUUAUUGAAAUUAUGCAGGGCACUCCCCAUGGUUCCCUCAUCCAAUUACUUUCAACUCAUUUCACCCAAUCAAAGAAGACGAAGUGCAGACCACACUAAUGCAUCACCGAUUCACCUUGCUGCUGAGUGAUUGCCUAUUCGGUACCAGUGCUUGUCACAGUAUUGACUUGUAUUAUAAUCCCACUAUGCAUUUUGAUGUGUUUAAGGCAUGAUCAAGCAAACAAACGACAGAAUACUUUUUCUGAAACCUUAACUGUGGUACCUGUUAUGGCAGCUAACAGACACUCGGCGCAUGGCUCCUUUGUUUACGUUAGGGAUCAGCUGUUAGCGCUGUGCCCUGCAGCUGCGCUACCGGCAGACCGUAGCGUCCCCAGUGAGGGAAGAGACGGGGGUGAUGUCUCCCGAGAAGGACACCUUACACACCAUCUCUCCUUCCUGUAAUCACUGUAAACGUGAGAUCGCUCCCUGAUAUGAUUGAGGAGCUAAUGACGCUAACCCGGUCACAGUGGCAGUACCCCGACACUGCCCGGUACUCCUCUGUGAGUAGGCUGCCCGGCUUCCAGCUGCUGCGGCCGGACAAGACGAGAGACAGCGGUGAGAGGAAAGGAGGGGGACUGGGCAGUGUUUGUUAAAGACGGUUGUGGUAUCCCUGGGCACAUUGCUGUGAAAGAACAACUCUGCAACAGAGACAUUGAGCUAUUAGCCGUUAGCAUCCGUGGAGGCAGCCUGUGACUCUCUGUGGUCCGCAGACGCAAUCUCCGAGAGCUCUUCUUCUAAUAUCAGGGGACUUUAAUCAUGUCUCGCUGGACUCCACACUGACCACCUUCACCCAGUAUGUGACCUGCCCCACCGUAGGCAAUAAAACAUUGUACUUAAUGUAUGCCAAUGAAAAAGUGGCAUACAGUUCAUCACCUCCCCCUGCCCAGGGAAGAUCUGAUCGUAAUUAGUGCGCCUUGUCCCUGUGUGCAGCACUUAGUGUGCACGGAGCCACCAAUCACCCACGCAGUGCCGAGAUGGUCCGCGGAAGGCAUAUGAAUAAAUAAUAAAAGCAAAUAAAUGACAGAAUGCUUUUUCUGAAACAAACGGAGACCUUAACUUUUAUCAAAAUACCGUUUUACUCAGUUUAAAGUAAUACCACUGUAUAAUAGCCUUCAAAUUUAAUAAUGUUAACAGUAUCUCAGGAAUAUUUUUGCCCCAUCAACAUGCAUUAAAAUUAGAUAUGCAGUUUUGAAUCAGACCUGUAUGUACGUUUUCUGAAAAGUGAUGUAAAUAAAUAAUCUCAAAAACAUGAAA
Molecule: long non-coding RNA, 1593 nt
Organism: Oreochromis niloticus (Nile tilapia)
Lineage: Eukaryota; Metazoa; Chordata; Actinopteri; Cichliformes; Cichlidae
Exons: 2
Source: RefSeq, a predicted model, not a curated record